UGAACGCUGGCGGCGUGCUUAACACAUGCAAGUCGAACGAUGAAGCCUAGCUUGCUAGGUGGAUUAGUGGCGCACGGGUGAGUAAUAUAUAGUUAACGUGCCCCUUAGUCUGGGAUAGCCAUUGGAAACGAUGAUUAAUACCGGAUAUUCCUUCUUAUCAAAAGAUAAGAUGGGAAAGUUUUUCGCUGAGGGAUCGGACUAUAUCGCAUCAGUUAGUUGGUGGGGUAAGAGCCUACCAAGACAAUGACGCGUAGCGGGUUUGAGAGGAUGAUCCGCCACACUGGUACUGAGACACGGACCAGACUCCUACGGGAGGCAGCAGUGAGGAAUAUUGCACAAUGGGGAAACCCUGAUGCAGCAACGCCGCGUGGAGGAUGACGCAUUUCGGUGUGUAAACUCCUUUUAUAUGUCAAGAAAAUGACGGUAGCAUAUGAAUAAGCACCGGCUAACUCC
This 453-nucleotide ribosomal RNA is filed under the name uncultured bacterium. RNAcentral's name for it is "bacterial SSU rRNA". It matches the Rfam family "Bacterial small subunit ribosomal RNA", at positions 30 to 504 of the family's 1533-position model. The record is from RNAcentral.